Molecule: long non-coding RNA, 883 nt
Organism: Brassica oleracea var. oleracea
Lineage: Eukaryota; Viridiplantae; Streptophyta; Magnoliopsida; Brassicales; Brassicaceae
Exons: 4
Source: RefSeq, a predicted model, not a curated record
AUUUUGUUUACAAUAACACUUUUGUAUGAAAAUUUUAGUUUGUCGGCCCAACACUUAAAAUUUCUUUGCCACCAAAACACUCAAGACAAUUAUUUUUUUAUUUCUCUCUUCUUUCUCUCCAUCUUCGACACAUCUCUCUUCCAUCUUCUGUUUUUCUAUUUUCAGAUUUCAUCUCCUCAAUCUAUGUUCUUACUCAUCGCGCGCGCGCGCGCGCACACACACAUCUCUCUCUAUCUUACUCUCCUAAUCUCUCUCUCUCUCUCACACGCGACACAUCGAUCUCAAACCUAGAACUCGGGAACCCUAAACUGCGCUCGCACCGGAUAUAACUGCGCUCGCACCGGAUUCGUGAGCCGUCUCGAAGUUCCCAAAAGCAUUCCGAUAUGUGAUUCGAAACACUCGGAUCUUAUACGGUGUUUGGAUAGAGAUCUUCACCACCAGUUGAAACUGAGACUCAACUUAUCUCUUUGUUUUCUCUCUUCUUGAGUUUAUAGGAUACUGCAUAUUUUCAGUGGCUUUGUUUGUUUAUUGAGUUCUAAAGGUUGUAGGUUUAAUGGUGUUUGUUGUGCAGGAGAAUGAUUUACUCCUUUUGGAGGUGAUUUGAUGCGAGAGUUUAAGAAUGCACUUUUGAAGCAGAGAACGAACAGAGCAUCAGGCUCUCGAUUGGCAAAAUUGCAGGAUAAUCAGAAUAAGAGUCUUAUCCAACGCCGCUUAUCCGAACUUGAAGUUUGAAAGAAGGUUGGCUUGAUGGUGGAAGCUUUGCUUUUUCUGUUUUACUUGUCAUUGUUUUUACAGUUAAACAAGGUGGAGGAGGCUGAAGAAGCUUGAUGGUGGUGGUCUCGCUACCGACGCCAUAUCAGAAGAAGCAUCGCUCGAGAUGAGA